This 827-nucleotide unclassified non-coding RNA is filed under the name Aplysia californica (California sea hare). Its description in RNAcentral is "uncharacterized LOC101859945, transcript variant X1". The record is from RNAcentral. Lineage: Eukaryota; Metazoa; Mollusca; Gastropoda; Aplysiida; Aplysiidae.
CUUUCCUUACCUGCGCCUUUUGUGUUAUGGAGAGGGGUCAGGUCACUGUAUUCUUGGAACGCGAACUGACGUUUACAAAAUAAUAUAAUGAAACUGAAAGUACAUAGAAUCUAUUAAUCUUUUUAUUUAAAGAAGAUUGAUUUUUACUGAGCCUACGUACUUCAUAUAGAUCUACAUUUUUGAUUUGUCAGGACUGUGCAGAGUGGAAGCAAGGUGUUUGCGGACCAUGGUGGAAAAUGCAGGGCAAAGAGUGGAAAAGCUAGAGGCGAGACAGGGUGUGGUCAACGAUGGUGAGAAUGACGUGUCGGCUGGAACCACAUUUGCUAGGCUGUCACAGGCUGUCGAUGCUUUAGAUGUGAAAGUCAAAAACUUGCAGGUCGGAGUUGAUCGUAGUACAUGUACAACCUAAGAUCUAGUUGGGUUUUUUUCUGACUCGAGCAGAAAUGGCAUCUAGAAUCACAGCGAAUAUGAGAGAGUUGACCAGACGGAAAAUCAUAAUCACAAAAAGUGGGCUCAAAACAAUGUAGGCCUACAGUACGGCGCCCUGUUUUAUGUAGUAUGCAGAACAGCACAAGGGAAGAUGACACUGACGACAUUUUAAUAUUUACGUGUGAAGCAAACACAGUAAAUUGAUCAAAUUAGAUCUAAAUAAAUACACAAAAGGCUAGCAUCUGCGUUUGUCGCGGCCGCGAUUUUUUUGCAUAAAAAAAAAGACAAAACAAUAAAGCUACUUCACAACAUGACAUGUGUUUUGAUAAGUUUUAAGAUGUUCAUGCGUAUCUAUUUUCAUGCAGAGAAUAUAAGUACAUUACGUUACAUACUAUUUA